This 207-nucleotide ribosomal RNA is filed under the name uncultured bacterium. RNAcentral's name for it is "partial 16S ribosomal RNA". It matches the Rfam family "Bacterial small subunit ribosomal RNA", at positions 568 to 774 of the family's 1533-position model. The record is from RNAcentral.
CGCGUAGGCGGCUUCUUAAGCGUGCGGUGAAAGCUCGGGGCUCAACUCCGAGUCGGCCGUGCGAACUGGGGAGCUGGAGCACAGUAGAGGCAGAUGGAAUUCCGGGUGUAGCGGUGGAAUGCGUAGAGAUCCGGAAGAACACCGGUGGCGAAGGCGGUCUGCUAGGCUGUGGCUGACGCUGAGGCGCGACAGCGUGGGGAGCAAACA